AAUAGAUACCCGGGUAGUCCAUGCCGUAAACGUUGGGAACUAGAUGUGGGGACCAUUCCACGGUCUCCGUGUCGCAGCUAACGCAUUAAGUUCCCCGCCUGGGGAGUACGGCCGCAAGGCUAAAACUCAAAGGAAUUGACGGGGGCCCGCACAAGCGGCGGAGCAUGCGGAUUAAUUCGAUGCAACGCGAAGAACCUUACCAAGGCUUGACAUACGCGAGAACGCUGCAGAAAUGCAGAACUCUUUGGACACUCGUGAACAGGUGGUGCAUGGUUGUCGUCAGCUCGUGUCGUGAGAUGUUGGGUUAAGUCCCGCAACGAGCGCAACCCUCGUCUUAUGUUGCCAGCACGUAAUGGUGGGGACUCAUAAGAGACUGCCGGGGUCAACUCGGAGGAAGGUGGGGAUGAGGUCAAAUCAUCAUGCCCCUUAUGUCUUGGGCUUCACGCAUGCUACAAUGGCCGGUACAAAGGGCAGCAAUACCGCGAGGUGGAGCAAAUCCCAAAAAGCCAGUCUCAGUUCGGA
This 522-nucleotide ribosomal RNA is filed under the name uncultured bacterium. RNAcentral describes it as "bacterial SSU rRNA". It matches the Rfam family "Bacterial small subunit ribosomal RNA", at positions 777 to 1297 of the family's 1533-position model. The record is from RNAcentral.